RNAcentral lists this unclassified non-coding RNA (201 nucleotides) under Hevea brasiliensis (rubber tree). The record is from RNAcentral. Lineage: Eukaryota; Viridiplantae; Streptophyta; Magnoliopsida; Malpighiales; Euphorbiaceae.
GCUAACUUUACAAUAGCUUUAAAGAGAUGUGUUCAAGAGCAUCAAGGGUCCAACUACCCACAACCUAUACUUAUUUGUAAAAGAGAAGAGGUGGAAAUUGGCAUACAAUCAAGUAUCCUGACACGCAGAUGAGGUAAAAUUGUUUGUUAAAAGCAAGUAGACAGAACAGGCAAAAUAUAAUAAAUAAACAAGCUUCAUAAA